Molecule: ribosomal RNA, 253 nt
Filed under: uncultured bacterium
Lineage: Bacteria
Description: partial 16S ribosomal RNA
Rfam family: Bacterial small subunit ribosomal RNA
Source: RNAcentral
UACAGAGGGUGCGAGCGUUAAUCGGAAUUACUGGGCGUAAAGGGCGCGUAGGCGGGAUGAUAAGUCAUAGGUGAAAUCCCCGGGCUUAACCUGGGAAUGGCCUAUGAGACUGUUGUUCUAGAGUAAGGUAGAGGGAAGUGGAAUUUCCGGUGUAGCGGUGAAAUGCGUAGAUAUCGGAAGGAACACCAGUGGCGAAGGCGGCUUUCUGGACCUAUACUGACGCUGAGGCGCGAGAGCGUGGGGAGCAAACAGG